UACGGAGGGUGCAAGCGUUAUCCGGAUUUACUGGGUUUAAAGGGUGUGUAGGCGGGUCUUUAAGUCAGUGGUGAAAUCUCCGAGCUUAACUUGGAAACUGCCAUUGAUACUAUUGAUCUUGAAUUCUGUUGAGGUGGGCGGAAUAUGUCAUGUAGCGGUGAAAUGCAUAGAUAUGACAUAGAACACCAAUUGCGAAGGCAGCUCGCUGGGACGUGACUGACGCUGAGACGCGAAAGCGUGGGGAGCAAACAGG
RNAcentral lists this ribosomal RNA (253 nucleotides) under uncultured bacterium. RNAcentral's name for it is "partial 16S ribosomal RNA". It matches the Rfam family "Bacterial small subunit ribosomal RNA", at positions 524 to 776 of the family's 1533-position model. The record is from RNAcentral.